AAGGAAUAUUGGUCAAUGGAGGCAACUCUGAACCAGCCAUGCCGCGUGCAGGAAGACAGCCCUAUGGGUCGUAAACUGCUUUUAUUGGGGAAUAACCGCCUGUAUGUAUACAGGAGUGAAUGUACCCAAGGAAUAAGGAUCGGCUAACUCCGUGCCAGCAGCCGCGGUAAUACGAAGGAUCCAAGCGUUAUCCGGAUUUAUUGGGUUUAAAGGGUGCGUAGGCGGCCUAUUAAGUCAGGGGUGAAAGACGGUGGCUCAACCAUCGCAGUGCCUUUGAUACUGAUGGGCUUGAUUGCAGCUGAGGUAGGCGGAAUGUGACAAGUAGCGGUGAAAUGCAUAGAUAUGUCACAGAACACCGAUUGCGAAGGCAGCUUACUAAAGUGUAAAUGACGCUGAGGCACGAAAGCGUGGGGAUCAAAC
RNAcentral lists this ribosomal RNA (420 nucleotides) under uncultured bacterium. RNAcentral describes it as "bacterial SSU rRNA". It matches the Rfam family "Bacterial small subunit ribosomal RNA", at positions 356 to 773 of the family's 1533-position model. The record is from RNAcentral.